GGAAACAGAACACCAGGAAACAAAAAAGUCUAAAAGUAUACAUUAAUCUCAGGACUAACCCCACCACUAAUGACAUCUGCUCAGCACAGCCAAAGCAUUUUCUUUCUGCCAAGCUCCCUCCUGGUGAUGCUGGCUCCAGGGGCCAAGGCCUUCACCUGAGCUCUCUGAUGCAAAUCUUCCAGACCCUAAAUAACUGUGCCCUUCAUGCCACUCUUUGAAUGUUUCUGGCUUGGAAACACUGCUGUCCCAUAGCAAGGAGAGCCUGGAAGAAAAUGAGUCCCUUACAGGGACAAAAGGAAGUAUUUUGAGUGCUCAAAUCCUGUUCCAAUUUGUGUCCCUCUGAAGCCUGAGGAACUACCCUGCCCCUCGGUGGCAUGCAGUUCAGAUUUGCUGGACUUAGGACCACAUUUGUGGUUUACAAUGGCUGCUUAGUGCUGCUCCACACUUGCCUUUAUAUCCCUCUGAAGAAGGACUCAUUAAGCUACUAUACAGAUUGCUCACACUUGGCGGAUCACGUCCCUAAGAUGCCUAGACACCCAGGGUUCUGUGUUGGACACCAUGAAGAAUACAGCAGUGGAUAACACAGCCUUGCCCUUGGGAUUUCACAGGCAGUCCAAGAACAAUGCCAUGAGAGCCUCACAGAGGCUCAUGUAAAAGCAUCCGAGCAUCUUGUAAAAGCAGAGAAGGGAGAGACUUCUUCCCUAUGGGGAAGAGAAGAGAGUCUUCAGGGAAGAGGGAGCCCUGGAGGAGGUCACGAAUGAUAAGAAGAGUUUUGUGUUCUCUACCCUGAGGAAGUCCCUCCUCCACUUCUGAAAAGCCCAGGUUCUACUUCGACCUCACCAGUGUUACAGGACGGCAGGGUGGGGGAGGGCUGUAGAAUGGGGAAGAGUCUGUACACCUGCUAUGUAUGGCUGUUGGUGGGUUUUUCUUUGUGCCUUUUUUUUCCUGUUUGUUUAAUGCAUAUUUUUUCCUCCUGCCUUCAGGACACAGUGACCUAUAUUUCAGUUUUGGCAAGGGACAAUGCCAGAGUGUGGGAAGGAAGAGCCCUGGGAAGAGAUAGUUAAACUUUGGCAGGCUAAUGUUUGAUGCUGCUUCAUUGCCUUCUUACUUUUAAAUAUAAGAACCACACCAUCCAGAGAAGGAACAAAGACAGGUGACCUCUCAAGACCCUUUUCCACUACUGUGACUCUGAAGUGCCCAGGAAUAUAUUUUUUUAAAUGCAUGUAAACACUAGAUGCAUAGGACCCCUUGAGCGUUCCUAAAAUAUGUCUUGGACCCUCUUACUGCUCUGCUUAACAGCUUCAAUGAGUAUCUCCUAUCUAGAGAAUAAAACUUCAAAUUCCUCAUGGUGGCAUUCAAGACACUUCAAAUUCUAGCCUCUACCUUGGCACCUGCUACUUUCCUCCGAUCUCCCACCAGACAUACCAAGCCAUAUGUUCCUCCCUGCACAUACUGGCUCUAUCCCCCAUGACAGCUCAGCCAAUUCUCUACCACCUUGCCCCAUCUCUCUAAGUCCCACUCACCUUCCUGCCCCAGUUCAGAAUUCAUCGUCUUUGGGAAGUCUCCCCCAUCCCAUCUGCCACCUUCCCAGGCAAAAUCAACUUCUUUCUCCUUUGAGUUUCCAUUAUCAUUCAAUUUUUUUCUGUUACACUUUUCUUAACCUGCCUUGGAAUCCAGCAAGCUGUGCUCAUUCCUGUCUGUUGCUAAAGACUAAAAGCUCUCUGAGGGAAGAGUAAAAUAUAGACUUCUCUCUUUCUGCCACAUAGCAUCUCACACCAAGGAAAAGGCAGGUCUUCUAACCUGCCUUAGUAAGGUGACGAAAUUCUCACCUCAUCUAAGAACCUGUUUAGAUUUUCCUAAAUUCCAGAGAUUUUCUUCAAGCUAGAAGAAGAACAGGUUGGGCAGGAUAAGAAGGUUUCAAAAGUUUUGUUUGUUUGUUUUUUUAUGUGUGAACAUUUUGAUGUAUUUCUUUCCAUUUUUUUAUUGAGUUCAUAAUAGUUUACAUCAAUGUGAGGUUUCAGUUGUACAUUAUUUCUUGUCUGUCACCACAUAAGUGCUCCCUUUCACCCCCUGUGCCCACCCCCCAUCCCCCUUCCCCUGGUAACCACUGAACUGUUUUCUUUGUCCACGUGUUUAGACAUGUUCCAUAUAUGAGUGAAAUCAUCCAGUGUUUGUCUUUCUC
Molecule: long non-coding RNA, 2182 nt
Organism: Equus caballus (horse)
Lineage: Eukaryota; Metazoa; Chordata; Mammalia; Perissodactyla; Equidae
Source: Ensembl